This 11006-nucleotide long non-coding RNA is filed under the name Vitis vinifera (wine grape). RNAcentral describes it as "long non-coding RNA (VVIN_LNC006751)". The record is from RNAcentral. Lineage: Eukaryota; Viridiplantae; Streptophyta; Magnoliopsida; Vitales; Vitaceae.
CCAGGAGGCCGGCUUCUCGACAGGCAUCCACCAGCGGCGAGGCCUGGACAUCAAGCUCAAUCCCAACAAUGAGCCCAACCCCACGUACUUCUUUCACAUGUGGGUUAUGUCCCAACUUCUGGGUUAAAAUUUGUUUCAGGUAUUGGCCCUUCUUGGCGACACUGGCCAAGAAGCUGGGUUCUGAGAUUUUUUUUAAGGACAGCAAGAGCAGCGUUGCAGACAAGGGGGCUGCCAGCAAAAGUGCUUCCAUGGUCACCGAAGUUUACGGCAGAAGCAACUUGUUCGGUAACCAGUACAGCACCAAUAGGUAGGCCUCCAGCAAGAGGCUUGGCAAGUGUCAUUAUGUCAGGGAAUACACCAUAGGACUCAUGAGCCCAGAGGUGCCCAGUUCGGCCUAGACCACAUUGAACCUAUAGAACAGGAUCAGAACAUGAUCAAGAUAGGAAAAUUGAACAAAUAAUUAGAGGACAAGAAGUAUGAAUUUGGCUUAAAACAGAAGGUUCUGCUGUUGGAGCUACAAACAAGAUGAAACAGAUUUAUUCACACGGAAUAAAUCUCAAAUGAAGUCUCAUUGCCUUUGGCCACUUCUGCUUUUCAGACACAGAAUCCUCUACCGUUUUUCAUUCUAGUUGGGAUUCAGCAAACAAUGCAGUGUGCUUUUAUGUAUUAAUUCCCUAACUGCAUGAUAAAUGGAAACUGGAUUCUGACAACAGCUUGUUUUUUAUUUCAAUUCAUAUUUGGUGUGGGAAUUGGAGUUAUAUAGGAAGAAAAAAGCACCUUCACCUCACUCAUUUAAACAUAAAAGCAAUAAUGGCGAUUUAGGGAUUCAUCUAUAGAAUUCCUAUCUUUUUUGUAUCUUUUCGUGCAGCAAGUAUUUUAAUUUUUCUUUUUUCCUUUUUAAUUUCUUAUGGGGUUGGGAGUGCAAACAAUUCUUCCUAGUCUAGUCAUCAUCCCAAUAUCUUCUGGAAAACAUUAUUCAUUAACGAAGUAGUGAAGCAGAAAGUUUUUACCUGAAAUGAGUUGAGGCCUAGCAGUUAAGUGGACAUCUAAAGAAGGUAAACCAAGAGACACCAGAUUGAGGCAAAUACCCAAUAUGCGCACCGAACUUAAAAUCUAUGAAAUCAAAUAUAAGGGGAUUGAAAAACGACUUUCACAGAUAUUAUUUUCUGAUAUAAUACAGUAGGUUUUAGGAAAAUCCGACCAUAAAAUAAAAUCCUUGCAUGCAUGUACUGAAAAAAUUAUCUGCAAUUUGGCUAUUUCCAAUCGAGCAAUAUAGGCAACAUGAUUGAACAUAUAGGACCAGUUUGAGUAACUAUAUUUCAUCACUGAAAUGUUUAUUGCCUCAUCGAAAACAAGGAGAGCCCCAGCAUCAUCACAAGCACUUCGCAAAAAUUGUAAAAAUUCCUUUGUUGCACUGUAUAUACCCCCUUCUCCCUGGAUGCGUUCCACCUGCAGCAAAAUCGCUACUGCUUAACAAACAGAGGAAAGCUUUCGUGCACCAAUUUAAGAAGAAGGCCUCACAGCAAAUGGAGGAUAUAAAAAAGAGGAGUCGAAUAUUAUGUUACAGUCGGGAGUAGGGGUCUCCAAAAAGCCCGCGGCCCGCGGCCCGCUUUAGGCCCGGCCCGGCCCGAGCUCGUUUAUGGGCGGGCCGGGCCGCGGGCCUAAAUUUAGGCCCGGCCUGGCCCGUAGGCCCGCCCUUAGGCCCGGCCUGGCCCGUAGGCCCGCCCUUAGGCCCGGCCCGUAGGCCCGCCCUUAGGCCCGCCCAUUUAAAAAAAAAAACUACAAAAAUAAAAAGUAUUAAAAAAAAUAUUCAUUUCAAAAUUUUAUUCAUUGAAUGUAUAAUUACAUUUAAAAAUGUGGGAAAAUUUUACAUCACUACAAAAUAAAUACAUCCCAACUAGGUUGGCACCUAUUUAUUUGUCAAUCAUUUGUAUUUUUCAACCACAAAAAAUAAAAAUAAAAAUAUAAUAUACAUUUAGUCAUUAUUUUCUGGCGGUGAUGGCGAACUAUCAUGCAUCCAUGAAGAUCUUGAUAGUUUUAAAGAUUCCAUAUCGGCAAGCAUCUCUGUUUCUCGAAUGGAAUCGUACAUCCUUUUUUCUGCAAUUUCCCAAUCUUUUACACAUAUCCCUGCUUCAAUAACGUCUGGCGCUAAGUUGCAUCGUUUUUUACUAAUAACUCUUCCACCUGCACUAAAAGCAGCUUCUGAUGCAACUGUACUCACAGGAACUGUUAGUACAUCACGAGCAAUUAUAGAAAGCACAGGAUAUUUGUGUUGAUGUGAUUUCCACCAUAUUAAAAUAUCAAAAUCUUCUUGAUCUUCAAAUGGAAUUAUAUCAGUAUUAAGAUAUUUAUCUAAAUCAGAUGUAUUAUUUGGAGAACUAUUUGUUGUCUUUUUUCGACUUUUCAACAUUUCUAGAGCUCCUUUAUAAAAAGAUGAGGAGUUUGUAGAUGUAGGUGGUAAUUUAUUAGUAUUAAUAUCAUUACCAUAUUUUUCUUUAUAAUAGUUAUAUAAAUUAUAUAAUAAUGAAUUUAUUUCAUUUUUAAUUUCUUCAAUUUUUAUUUGGUCAUUAAAAUAAAUAAUUGUUAACCAUUCAUCCAAAGCUUCAAAUUUCAAUCUAGGGUCCACAAUUAAAGCAAUAUAAAAAAUUAAAGGUAUUUCUCCCCAAUAUUUUCUAAAUUUUUCUAUCAUUGCAAAUAUUGUAUCAUUAAAUAUUUCAAAACUUAAAUAUUUUUGAAGUACAAUAAAAAUAUUAGUUAUUUGCAUAAUAACUCGAUUUGAAGUUGGAUAAUAUACACCACAAAAAAUGUUUGUUGAAGUAUCAAAAAUUUCAAAAAGAUCUCUUAAAAGAUCCGCAACAUGCCAAUCAUAAUCACUUAAUGUAUAAAUAUCUGCAUCAGAAUCAUUGUUAAGUAAUUGUAUUUCAUAUAAUUCGACUACUUUUCUAUAUUUUGUAAUAUUUUGUAAAAGUUUAUAUGUGGAAUUCCAUCUAAUGGCCAUAUCCAAAUUUAUAUUUUUUCUUUUCAUAUUUAACAUUUUGCAACAAUAAAAAAAUAAUUCAUGUUUUGCUUGAGAACUAUUAAUACUAUAUGCAAUGCCUCUAAUUUUUUCCAAUGUAUCAUCAACAUUUUUUAAUCCAUCCUUUACAAUUAAAUUUAAAAUAUGUGCACAACAACGCACAUGAAAUAUUUUAGCAUGAUCAUCUUUUACUUGCCAAUAUAGUUUUAGUCUAUUUAUUGUUGCAUCAUUAUUAGCAGCAUUAUCUAAUGUUACUGUCAAUAUUUUAUCACGAAGGCCUAAAUUUAUAAUUUCUUCAUUUAUUAAAGUUGCUAUAUUUUUACCACUAUGUGGAGCAUUUAUUAAUUUAAAUGAAAUUAUUCUUUUAUUUAAUUUCCAUUCAUUAUCAAUGUAAUGAGCAGUUAUACAUAAAAAACCAGUGUGAGUUAAAGAUGUCCAAAUAUCAGAUGUUAAACAAAUAUUUCCUUCAAAAUUUGCAAAAAAAAUUUUUAAAAUUUCUUUUUAUGUAUAAAAUUUUUUCAUAAUAUCUCUUUUAACUAUAUUUCCAGACCAACCUUUAAAUUGAGGAUUAAUACCUCGUUGAAUUGUUCCUACAAAAUCAUGAGUUUCCAUCAUGUUAAAAGGUUGUUCUGCUCUUAUUAUAUAAUCAAUCAUUUCUUCACGACAGUUAGAUUCAUCAUAAGAAAAUGUUUUUAAAUUUCCACUUUCAUUUUUACCUAAUUGCAUAUAAUUUCUAAUAUCUACAUUAUUUUUAGUUUUACAAUUUUCGUGAUGUCUUUUUAAAUGACUUGUGCCUGCAUUUGAGCCACCAGUAAGAAAUUUAUUACAAAUUUUACAUUUUGCUUUUAUUUCUUUUUUAUUAUUUUCUAAAAUUAUUUCUACUCUAUCAAAAAAAUUCCAUAUAUUUGAAGUAAAUUUUUUGUUUGAUGAUAUUUCAUCACAUGGACUAGAUGAAGAAGCACUUGUUAUCAUAUUAUAAUUAUUGAUAAAAUAUUAUGCCAAAAAUAAUAAAGUAAUAAAUAUAAAAAAAAAUGUAACAAAAAAAUAAAGUAGUAGGGGUGAAGUAUGUUACUCAAUUAGAGAACCGAUGCAGAAAUUCCUAGCAAAUUUGAACUCUUGGAGCCACCAAUGCUUGUUUUGCACCACCAACAAUAUUGUAUAAUUUGAGGGAAAAAUAAAAGAAUUUGAAAUAUUGUAGAAUGUGAGAGAAAUAGAGAGAGAAAUAGAGAGAAUUUGAUGAAAAAAUGAAAAGGGAGAAGAUGUAUUUAUAGGAAGGUUUUUUUUUUAAAAAAAAAAAAAAAAAAAAAAAAAAAAUUGGCCAUGUGACCGUUGCCCAACGGUCACAUGGCAGCUAGGAGCAUGGAUUGGAGCUCCAACGGUCACAUGACCGUUGGAGCCUUUAAUUUUUUUUAAAAAAAUAAUAUACUUUAUGUUAUAUAUAUAUAACUAACUCUAACAUUUAACACAAAAGUAAUGUGGCUCAGUUGGUUAGAGCCUUUACUUUGAACCAUGAGGGGAGGGGUUCGAAUCCCCCCCUCUCCAUUCAUUUCUAAAGCCAUUUUGGCUUAUUUAAAAAAGCCCAAGGCUUGGCCCGCCAGCCCGCCCCCAGCCCGGCCCGCUGGCCCGGCCCGCUGCCCGCCCCCAGCCCGCCCCGCCCAGCCCGUGGGCCGAAGAUUUUUCCCUGGCCCGGCCCGGCCCGCCCGUUGGAGACCCCUAGGUCGGGAGCAAUUUUUAUCGUCGACAUAGUUGUUAUUUGCAACGAAUAUGUUUCCUGCUAUAGUGAAUAAAGCCCCACUAUUUAGGCUAAUAAUAACUUGAUGGUAUUGCCAGUAUUUUGGGUAUUCACUUAGAAUUUUUAAAUAUACAAAUAAAGAAAAUCAAUGCAUCAGAAUAGUGCACUUUACCAGGCAUUGACAAAAUAAAUGAUCACAAGUUGUUCUUUUGUUUACAUAAUUAUGAUUAGGAUGACUUAUGCACCCCUAUCUUGGCAAGCUUUACAGGGCUAAGUACUGAACAUAAUCAGGACUGGACAACACUUUUUCAUGGAACGCACUUAUGUUCUUGAGCACCCUAGGACGCCAAAUUAUGAACAUAAGGAAGGUAAAUCUCUUGCCAUCACCCAUCACUAGUUUUCCACAUCAAUUCGCUCAUCUAUGUGCUCAUCAUUAGAAUCACCCAGACAAUUACUCUUACACAGGGAUUUCUAUUGUGGGACAGUUUUAGCAACUGAAACUCGAGCUUCCUUUCAAUACAAAAGUGUUGAAUCCAUAUUUAUCAUCAUCUUCAAGUUUUAUGGCACAGGCUGACAAGAGACUAAUGAAAGUAAAACAAAAGCUUUGACAAGAUAAUCAGAGCUCGGAGCGCAAGUUUGUAGACAUGGAAGCUCAUGUGCAGUGGAAAAGAUGAAAAUGGCUGGUGAAGAUCCAACAAUGCACUAAUUGAGGCUUGUGGGAUUGGAGAAGAUUGUCGCAUCUUCCUUUGAGCUUCUGCAUUUUGGAUUUCGUGGAGAUUAAGGGAUAGUUUCCUGGAAAAGGAGGUUGGAGAGAAAUACUUGAUGUUGUCAAACAAUAUUUACAAAUAAAAUCUAUUUUUGCAUUUUUCUACAAGAAUUUUACCUGGCAGUUGUGCAUAAUGGUUUGAUCCUCCCACUCCGAAGUGCGAACGAAUCUAAUGAAGUAUGUACAGUGAGAAAUCAGAGAGAAACUAAAUAUAAUUAAAAUACAUGAAAAGUUAAAAUAAUAUUCCAAAUAGAAAAUAGAAUAAUAUCUUGAGAGGCCGACUCAAACAAUCACAAUGCACAUUUGGGCUUGGCCAUAUUUAUAAUAUGAAAUUUUUUAAAUACAAUUAUGUAUAUAUAUAAAACGAAGAAAAAGAAGGAAUUACUUGUAAUGAGACGAAUCGGAUUGAAAAUAUGGAGUGAGUUUGUGCAUAAUGGUUUGAUCCUCCCACUCCAAUUCAUCCCACCAUUCUUGUUCUCCCUUGAUUUUCUCCAAUUUCUUGCUCACUCCAAUAUUGGAAUCAAAUGGCAGCUUCCUCAAACUUGGACAUUGAAACACACAGAUGUAUCUUAAAGAUGGAAAAGUUAGGGCACGUCCAUGUAUACUUCUUAGCUCUGGUAAACAAAACAAAGCGAGAGAUCUGAGUCUCGAGAAUACGCCCAAAUGAUCUACUGCAAUUUCUAAUAUUUCACUCCUUUCAUCAUCUAUCACUUUUUCCAUUGAUUCACAUGCUGAAACACUUAGAAAUUGAAGGCUUGGAGCAAAAAUAAGCCAUGUCAAAUUCAACAGUUCACCACAUCCAGAUAUGUAGACAUCACAAAGGUUGUUCAAGCAUUGGUGCCUUGGGAAUUUUGAGUAGACCACCACUUCCUUUUCAAAAUUGAUUUUCACAUCUUGCAAUUCAAAACAAUUUAUAAUACGGAGUGUCUCUAUAUAAAGGGAUAGUUGGACCAGUUUCACAUGCUCACAAGCUAAUUGUAGCCAUCUUAUGGAUCUUUGCAACUUGUGGGAGUUUAAUAAUGUUUGGAUGGAUGAUACAUUUGUAAGGUCGAUGGAUAUAUCAUCAAUGUGUUCCAACUGCUCUAACUCUUCUAAUAACCUUCUUUCAUAAUCUCCCAUAUAGUAUGAGUUUGCAGUGUCAUAACUACUAAACAAUUGCAAAGAGGAAAGACUCGAUACCAUUUGAGAUGGAAGUGGCUUAAGAAAAUACAUAUUUUUCAAUAUCAAGCACCUUAAUUUUUUCAAGUUCUUGAGCUCCAUAGGUAAGUAUUGAAUACUUGUCCUCGACAAAUUAAGAUAUUGCAAGGUAACUAAGUCUCCAAUCUCCUCAGGUAACUCCUUAAGUUCAAAAUUGUUUGACAAGUCCAAAACUCUUAUGAUAGGCAUGUUUGUAAAGAAUCUAUUUGGAAAGAAUCUAUUUGGAAAGAAUCGAAUAAACUUACAUGAUGCCAAAAAGGUCUCCAUAUUAGGGAAAUAUGGUGGUUCCCUGAGUUCUUCAAUGUUGGAAUCCCACAAUGAUAUCCUUUGUGUCUUUUUCCAUUUUUCAACUUCCUGAGCUCUAAUCGAUUCAACUCCAUCUUUUACCACAAAUUUGUUCUUCUUCUUCCCGUUUUCGCCAGCCAACCACAAAGCCAUAUCACGAAUAACAUCAUGCAUCUUCAAAUAUUCGUCUUUUUCACCUUCUUCAUUUACGGGAGAUAUGACAUUUUCCAAUAAACAUGCAAGCUGUAAACUUUUAAUAACUUCUUCUCCUUGAUUUCUUGCUUCUUGUAUGUUGUCAUAUUCAUCCAGAAAACCCUCCCCGAUCCAAAGUUGUAUAAGUUUUCGAUGAGAGAUUUCAUAAUCCUCCGGAAAUAAAGAGCAAUAUAGGAAACACGAUUUGAUGGCUUCAUCGGGCAGGCUAUCAUAACUGAUUGCUAAUACUCGAAACAAAUCCUCCUCUGUACCUGGAAACUUUGCUGGAUAAUUCUUCAACAUUUGUAUUUUUUUCUCCCAUUCCUCGGGUGUUUUUGCUCCCGCCAUUGCUCGCCCUGUGGUGAUGAGGGCAAGUGGUAAGCCGUCACACUCUUUGGCAACCAUCUCCGCCAGCUUUGGUAUAUCUGGAUGAGAACUUAUAGUGUCUGCUCCUACCUUGGUCUGAAACAGAGCAAAAGCAUCCUCCCAUGGGAGGCAAUUCACUUCAAUGCUCUUGGUAGCUUCCAUCUUUUGGCAUACUUGUUUAGAUCGCGUUGUAAAUACCAUCUUCAACUUAUCUUGAUGAUUCAGAGGAGGAAUACCAACUUUGGAUAGAUCCAGCCGCUCCCAUAUGUCAUCUAACAAGAGCACAAAUUUCUUUGUCUUCAGGACAUUGAAUAUUUCUUCUGCCCUUUCAUCCUCACUCCUACCUUCCCAUUUAUCUUUGGGAAUCUCCAAUUUAUUGAAAAGAACUUGCUGAACCUUUUCCACAUUGGCUGGUCUGGACACAGUCACCCAAAUCACUGCAUCAAAUUCAACCCUGGUUUUGUGGAGCUCAUUGUUGGUCCUGGUCAAGAGGGUGGUUUUGCCCACACCCCCCAUUCCAUAUAAUCCGAUACUGCUUACCUUCUCUCCAUCAUCUUGGAGCCAUUUCCAGACCUUCCCAAACAACAAAUCUUGGCCCACAGUCUUGUCCAGCUGCCUCUCGAUCACGGGAGGAAUAGGCAAAGGUUCAGCAACUACACUGAAAUUUGAGCCCUCCCUCUUCUUUACCGUCACAGCAUCCAUCUUUUCAAGUACCAUCUUGCCAAGCUUAUAGCUAGCGCCACAGUUUUUAGGACAACAGGUUCCGAGACAUUUCUUCUGGAUUUCUUCAUCACCUUUUGCCAAUAUUUCCUGCACUUCUUUUUCCAUGGCUUCUACUCCGCGGAGCCAGCCAUCAACUACACGAAGACGCUUCUUCUGACGUUUCUCUUCACGUUCCACCCUUUCCUUCACAUCUUCGUACAGGUUCUUGAGUUCCUCCAUUUCAGUUCUCAAAGAGUUGAGAUUUUGUGGGAGAUGACGGAUGUAAACAGCACGCUUAGCAGUGCAAUCCCACAAGCGAGUGGCGACAUCCAGGAUGGGGCUUACACAAUCCAUGGAGAAAACAGGUGAUGGAUUGGAGUUGGAGAGGUGGAGAGAAGAUGAGGAAGGAGAAAAGUAAUAGUGGAGUAUCACCUCUCUUUUUCCAAGUAAAAGACUGAAAAAUCAGUGCCGGCCGGAGAUUGUGGUUGGAGCCUACGAUGAAUGCUAUAAAAAAAUUCAUAAUCUGUAGAUAAUACCAAUAAAUAAUGUCAUUGUCUUCUAUGUACAGACUGUGUAAAGGUUAAUAAAAGACUCACCACUUAUGAUACAUUGUGGUUGUAUUUUUUUCUUUUUAUUAUAUUUAUUUAAAUUUUAAUGGUAUUGUAUUUUUUUUUUAAAUGUUCAUAAUAGGAACCCUAAAUUUUCUUUUUUCUCUUUAAAUCGUUAGAAUUUCACAUGGCAUCAUAGCAAAAUUGAUUUUUUUAAUAAGACUUUUGAUUUAUAAUUUUAUAAAAAAGAGUUUAAUCUCAUACACUUGCAAACAAAGUUUGUUCAUAUCCGUUUGAUUGUAAAAUUCUCUUUUGUCGUUUUUAAUCAUAGGAUAUCAUAAUGGAUGAUUGUAUCAUUUUUUUUUCUUAUUUGAUCCGUAAUUGAAAUAAUUGUUCUAGUUAUAUUUUCUACUACUCCGCCCAUUUCAUAAAGUAUUCUUCCUACUUUUCUAGUUAUACGGAAUAUCCUUUCCCCGAACCAUACAUCUUUCUAUAGGUUGGAUGGUGAUCACUAGCUGAUAUAUUAUGAUAUCAUGUUAGUAUAUAAAAUUCAUUCAUUCAUUCAUUCAUUUACUUUUAAUUUUUACUAGGGAUAAAAUACAUUUAAUAGGAGAUAAAAUGCAUUUAAACUCAAACUUAUGUUUCAUGUAUUAUGCUUAAUUUUUUUUCCCUUUUUUUUUUAUUUCUUAUCCCUUUUUUUUUUUUUUUACGUCUUUCAAGAUCCAAAAGCAACAGUGUAUUAAAAUCGUAAAUCAAUGGAUAUAUAGUAAUAUAAUGGUUAUAAUAUAUUUACGUUAAUUAGAAGAAACUUCAAUGGUGUUUGUUUUUUUAUUAAAUAAGAAAAGUUAAAAUAUUUUAUUUCUUUUAUUUAGUUAAAAAUAAUUUAUUGAUAUCAAUUAAUAUAAUUAAAAUGAACUUCUUAUUCAUAAGUUCAAUCUAAUUAUAUUGAAUGAUAUCAACAGAUUACUAUUAAUGAAAAAAAAUCAAAUAUUUUAAUUUUUUCUAUUUAAUAAAAAAACAAAUAUUACUUUCUAAAUUAUAUGUGGUUUUGAAAUGUAUUAAAAAAAGAAAAAAUAUUAAGAAAAAUAAUUUCUUUAUGAUUGGUUGUAAAUUGAAAAAAAAAAUCAAAUAUAAUUAAAAUUAAUAAGAAACUAAUAUAUUUUAAAAUUAUUUAAUUUUAUAUAAAAAAAUUUAAAAUAAAUAAAACCAAUUUAAAAUAACAUAUAAAAAAUAAUUUAUUAACUUUAAAUUUAUUUUUUUAUUUUCAUUCACUUUUUCUUUCCUUCUAUUUUUUCUAUCUCUUUACUUUUUUUUUUUUUGAUAUUUUCUCUCAAUUUUUUCCAAACUAAAAAAUAGUCAUAAUUUUUUGUUUUUCCAAAUUUGCCUAAUUAUGAUCUAAUAUUGUGAAAGCAAAAUUUGCAUAUGGUGGGUGGAUAUCAUAUAAGCUUCACUAGUUACUUCAUCCACAUAUAAAAAUUAUUAAAAAAAUUAAUUGAAUAUGACUUAUCAAUUUUUGUGGAAAUUAAUAGCUGAAUUGACGAUCCAACAAGGGUUUUAGAAGUAUAUGGAAAUUUCUAAUAAACAUCCUUCAUUUUUCAUAAUAUUACGAGCAUGCCACUAAAAUUGUCCAGAAGUAAAUUCAACAUAAAAUUCCCAAAAAAAAAAAACGAAAAGGUCAAUCAGUAUUGGAACUACAAGACCCAAUGCCUGUCCCAAAACUAAGAAAAACAAGCCUAACCUUGGACUGAAGGCAGCAAUGCUCUUUCUUCUACUUUGAAUUGCUCCCAUCUACUUUGAAUUGCUCCCAUCAAGUGCUGGAAGAGACCCGGAAAGAACCUCAGCUGCCAACUCCAACUCCUCUUCUGUUAUGAUCAAUGGAGGCACCAGCCUCACAACAUUCCCCUUUCCAGAGGUGAGCACCAGAAGGCCAGCUUCUUGACAGGCAACCACCAGCGGCGAGGCCUGGACGUCAAGCUCAAUCCCAACAAUGAGCCCAAACCCACGUACUUCUUUCACAUGUGGGUUAUGUCCCAACUUCUGGGUUAAAAUUUGCUUCAGGUAUUGGCCCUUCUUGGCGACGCUGGCCAAGAAGCUGGGUUCUGAGAUUUUUUCAAGGACAGCAAGAGCAGCGUUGCAGACAAGGGGGCUGCCAGCAAAAGUGCUUCCAUGGUCACCAAAGUUUAUGGCAGAAGCAACUCGUUC